This 21-nucleotide non-coding RNA is filed under the name Arabidopsis thaliana (thale cress). Lineage: Eukaryota; Viridiplantae; Streptophyta; Magnoliopsida; Brassicales; Brassicaceae. The record is from RNAcentral.
CGCGAAGCUACCGUGCGCUGG